Molecule: ribosomal RNA, 165 nt
Filed under: uncultured bacterium
Lineage: Bacteria
Description: partial 16S rRNA
Rfam family: Bacterial small subunit ribosomal RNA
Source: RNAcentral
UAGGGAAUCUUCCACAAUGGACGCAAGUCUGAUGGAGCAACGCCGCGUGAGUGAAGAAGGUCUUCGGAUCGUAAAACUCUGUUGUUAGAGAAGAACACGAGUGAGAGUAACUGUUCAUUCGAUGACGGUAUCUAACCAGCAAGUCACGGCUAACUACGUGUCCAG